Populus euphratica (Euphrates poplar) is the source of this 2044-nucleotide RNA transcript. It is a transcript of the gene named S-adenosyl-L-methionine-dependent methyltransferases superfamily protein, with no coding region annotated. Lineage: Eukaryota; Viridiplantae; Streptophyta; Magnoliopsida; Malpighiales; Salicaceae. The record is from RefSeq and is a predicted model, not a curated record. The transcript is spliced from 3 exons.
UUAUCCCAAAGCAAAACUAAUCCCUAAAAAAAUAAUUUCUCAUUGAUUAAACAACCGAGUCUUCUCCUGAACCAUUCAUUUAUCUUUCUUCCAUAAUAUAGAACCUCUCAGCACCUGUAUUCUUUUUCAGCAUCAGUAAAACAUAACGAAUCUGCAGCAGCAGCAGCAGCAGCAGGGGGGGAGGCAGAAUUGCACAAGACGGUUCAGUUCAGGUUGCUUACAAGAUGUCCCCAAAAACAGCACAAAUCCGCCUUGUGAGUUCGCAUCCCGAGGUUUAUGAACCGUGUGAUGAUUCCUUUGCGCUUGUCGAUGCGCUUCUAGCUGAUCGAACUAAUAUACUAGAUCAUUGUCCCAGAUUAUGUUUGGAAGUGGGUUGUGGUAGUGGUUAUGUGAUUGCUUCUCUAGCUCUUAUGCUUGGACAGGAGCUUCCUGGGGUGUACUACUUUGCCACUGAUAUUAAUGCUCAUGCACUGAGAGUGACCCGUGAGACGCUGGAUGCUCAUGCUGUUGAUGCCGAGUUAUUGUGCAUGGAUAUUGCAUCUGGGCUUGAGAAGAGGUUGGCAGGAAUGGUGGAUGUGAUGGUUGUCAACCCACCUUAUGUUCCGACACCUGAUUAUGAGGUGGGUCGUGAAGGAAUUGCGUCAGCUUGGGCUGGAGGGGAGAAUGGUAGGAGUGUAAUUGAUAGGAUAUUGCCUGUAGCUGAUAGACUUUUGUCGGAUAAGGGAUGGUUAUACAUGGUUACUCUUACAACAAAUGAUCCUUCACAGAUAUGUCUUCUGAUGAGAAAGAAGGGGUAUGCUUCUAGAAUUGUUGUCCAGAGAUCAACAGAAGAAGAGAGCCUUCACAUCAUCAAGUUUUGGCGUGAUUCUGAUAUUCAAUUGGAUACAAAGGAGAUCUUAACGACUAACAAAUCGGUUCCUGCAAGGGUCAAGGACUCACUCGUUUCACAGUUUUCUCAAUUGUCAUUCUGGAGAGGUACCAACAGCAAUUGUUUAUGAAACAGAAGGUAAACAAAAAGUUUGCAUUUUUGUCUUCGGAUAUGUCACCUUUUCUUGCCUGCCAUUUCUAUAUUUCUCUCAUAGUUAUCUUAGACUUCGGUGUAUAUGAUUAUUUUGGUGCCUGCCAAGGGGUUUCAUGUCAGUAAAAACUCAGAUUUUUGCAAUAAUCUGUAGCUCCUCUCUUCUGUAUCGAUUGUCUACGCUUUCUCUCCAUCAUCUUACUUUCUUUGGUGAUUCGGAGCAUACUUCAAAAUUGUGGUUUCAGGAGGCUUUUUAAAACAGAUCAGGAUUGAGGGCUGGCCAAACCAUUCAGUGAACUUGAUUCCAUGUCUAGUAUGCUCAUCUAUUGUUUACAUUUCCUUUUCCUCAUUUCAUAAGAUAAGAGAAAAGUCAAUUAAAGAGUAUAAAAAUGAAAUGAAAGCAUUUCUUGCUAAUGGUAUAUGAGAUUUGAGAGGUCCAAAGAUGGAGAAAAGAAUGAUAGCUGAGUAGCCUGCUCAAGAAGGCGCAUCAUGAGUCAGCAUAGCAGAAUAACUCAAUUUGCCUGAGCCAGGUGAAAUUCUUCCAAGAUACCAUGCAGACAAAGAAAUAAGAAUAGAAUAGGACCUUCUAUCAGAGAUUCUUAGCUCAAUUCUGAUAAGAGGCAACAAGGAACAAUCCAACAGAAAGCAAGUUGAUAAGGUCGCAGGUAGCCUUACAUUUGAGAUGACCAUUUUUGCACUCGAGGGUUAUAACAGAAGUUUGCAAUCCACACUUCGAGCUAGUUUCAGAGUUUAUGGAUCUCAUUGUUGAAAAACCUCUCUAGAGUCCCUUGUCGGCAACCUGGUUGUUGGAAAACUUCUUUUCUUUCACUGAUACCUGAACCUAAGCUCAUUUGCUGGUCUCAGAUGCGUCGAGUCCGGACUGCUGCUGAAGAUCAUUCUAUUAAGAUCACGGCAUUUAUGGUCUGUUGCUGUCAAUCAAUUCUAUGAUUUAUGGCAAAUGUUUUCAAAUGUAAUGUCAAAAUCAGACACGCCACAGUUUGCUUACAACAAAUUUAACUUUCAGUU